Molecule: ribosomal RNA, 253 nt
Filed under: uncultured bacterium
Lineage: Bacteria
Description: partial 16S ribosomal RNA
Rfam family: Bacterial small subunit ribosomal RNA
Source: RNAcentral
UACGUAGGGUGCGAGCGUUAAUCGGAAUUACUGGGCGUAAAGCGUGCGCAGGCGGUUUUGUAAGCCGGAUGUGAAAUCCCCGGGCUUAACCUGGGAAUGGCAUUCGGGACUGCAAGGCUGGAGUGCGGCAGAGGAGACUGGAAUUCCGGGUGUAGCGGUGGAAUGCGUAGAGAUCCGGAAGAACACCGGUGGCGAAGGCGGCCUGCUGGGCAGUGGCUGACGCUGAUGCGCGACAGCGUGGGGAGCAAACAGG